Molecule: long non-coding RNA, 1247 nt
Filed under: Sus scrofa (pig)
Lineage: Eukaryota; Metazoa; Chordata; Mammalia; Artiodactyla; Suidae
Description: lncRNA (ENSSSCG00015071584.1)
Source: RNAcentral
AGGGUGGAUCCUUAAGAGUCCGUUGAUUUCCGCUGCUGUGCGUAGAUACAGAUGUAAUGGGCUCAGGGAGGCUGAUUCCCCGUUAACAGCACCUCGCUGAAGGAUGUGCCAUAGAAGUGUUUCUUGAGAUACCACCUCGUCAUGUAACCACCACUACCAAGUGCUUCUGGAGUCUGUGCUUUAACACCAGCAAAGAUUGAGAUGCUCAGCAUGCUCUGAAGUUGUUUCCUGUUAGGUGGUUUGGUGUGCUUAGAUCAUUUUACCAACCGCAGAAGUAGACACCUGCUCUGUGAAAGUACACAAAGAUGCUCCCAGAGGUUUUGCUGAGAUGCCAAAGACAAGUCUUUUGUUGUCAGACUCAUUGGAGAAGAGUUACCCCAGCUGCCUCCCUGUGUUACGGGCUCUGUUUUACCAGCAGGCCCUAGUCACAUGCUUAGGGCAGCUGAACUGAGCAGAAAGUGAAAACCUUCCCCACUCUUCCCCACCCACUGUCUAACAGGCAUAUCACAAAACCAUUCAAACCUGCUUUUCUCAAACCUGCACUAUUUUUCCAUUUCAAGUCAGUGACGACUCUACUUUCUAGUUGGUCAGGCCCCAAACCAUGAAAUCAUUUUGAUUCCUUUUCCUAAAACCCACAUUCCAGCAGCAUUCUGCUGACCUCAAGAAGACAAAGUCCACCGAUGCAUAAGCGUCUCCAUCACUUACCACUACCUCCCAAGGCUAACCCAUCAUCUCACCUCAGCCCACAGCUGCAUGUCUCCCUUUGUCUUGCCUUCCACAUGCUAAGACAAUAGUGCUCAAAACCCUCCGAUGCCUUCGCCUCUCACCCCUAAAUCUGGCACCUCACUGAUCUUAUUCCUCUUUGGCCAUACCAGACCCCUUUGCUGUUCCCCAAAAGUGCAGCCCUUUAGUCUGGAUCAUGCUGUGCCACUUAGAUCUUUCCGGUCUCCGCUAGAAGAGGUCUUCCGUGAUCACAUAAGGAGCACUGCCCACAUCCACCUCUUUAUAAAAUAGCGCCUGUCCCCUCUCCCUGCCGUAUUUUUCUUCUUAGUAUGCAUCACUACCAGAAGUAAGGAUUUACUUGUUUCUUGUUAGUAGCUUUUCACACCCAGCCCCUACCCCUAAAGAAAAUAUAAAUUCCAUGAAAGCAGGAACUUGGCUUUUGUUCCCUGCUGUGCCUCCCAUCUCCUUAGAAUAAUGGCUGGACAUUAUAUAAAUCUGGUGAAUGAAUACAGUGCUAUAAUCCU